UGUAGGGUGGUGGAAUUGGCAAACACACCUCCUUGUCUCGGUGGCGGAGAGCACGGGAAAAUCCGGCAACGGACCAACCGCUCCUUGAAGGUUCGAAUCCUUCCCCUACAG
RNAcentral lists this transfer RNA (111 nucleotides) under Anseongella ginsenosidimutans. RNAcentral's name for it is "tRNA-Asp". It matches the Rfam family "tRNA". Rfam says of the family: Transfer RNA (tRNA) molecules are approximately 80 nucleotides in length. Their secondary structure includes four short double-helical elements and three loops (D, anti-codon, and T loops). Further hydrogen bonds mediate the characteristic L-shaped molecular structure. tRNAs have two regions of fundamental functional importance: the anti-codon, which is responsible for specific mRNA codon recognition, and the 3' end, to which the tRNAs corresponding amino acid is attached (by aminoacyl-tRNA synthetases). tRNAs cope with the degeneracy of the genetic code in two manners: having more than one tRNA (with a specific anti-codon) for a particular amino acid; and 'wobble' base-pairing, i.e. permitting non-standard base-pairing at the 3rd anti-codon position. Lineage: Bacteria; Pseudomonadati; Bacteroidota; Sphingobacteriia; Sphingobacteriales; Sphingobacteriaceae. The record is from RNAcentral.